ACGCUCGACACCUACGGGAGGUAGCAGUGGGGAAUAUUGCACAAUGGGGGAAACCCUGAUGCAGCGACGCCGCGUGAGCGAAGAAGUAUUUCGGUAUGUAAAGCUCUAUCAGCAGGGAAGAAAAUGACGGUACCUGACUAAGAAGCACCGGCUAAAUACGUGUCAGCAGCCGCGGUAAUCUGAGCGGGCUGGCAAGGC
This 198-nucleotide ribosomal RNA is filed under the name uncultured bacterium. RNAcentral's name for it is "partial 16S ribosomal RNA". It matches the Rfam family "Bacterial small subunit ribosomal RNA", at positions 328 to 539 of the family's 1533-position model. The record is from RNAcentral.